AGUUGUUUGGGAUUGCAGCUCAAAAUGGGAGGUAAAUUUCUCCUAAGGCUAAAUACAAGCGAGAGACCGAUAGCGAACAAGUACCGUGAGGGAAAGAUGAAAAGAACUUUGAAAAGAGAGUUAAAUAGUACGUGAAAUUGUUGAAAGGGAAACGAUUAAAGUCAGUCAUACUGAUGGGAAAUCAACUUCUCGAGCGUGGUUUAGUGGGAUCAAAGUGCCUUUGUUCUCGCGAUAUCUGCGUUCUUUUGGUGCAUUUUCUUUAUUGUAGGUUAGCAUCGGUUUUGAUCGUCAUAAAAUAACUGGAGGAAUGUGGCUUCGACUUCGGUUGAAGUGUUAUAAACUCUGGUAGAUGUAAUGGUUGAGACCGAGGAUUGCAACGGAUGCCCUUAAGGGCUAUCCGCCUGGCCUCUAAUUGUCACUUUGGCCUCGAAAGCUUGCUUACGAUGUUAAAGUGUGCGGUCAAUAGGUUAGAUCGGAUUAAAUUCGUUAAGGAUGUUGACGUA
This 503-nucleotide ribosomal RNA is filed under the name uncultured Glomeraceae. RNAcentral describes it as "eukaryotic LSU rRNA". It matches the Rfam family "Eukaryotic large subunit ribosomal RNA", at positions 268 to 633 of the family's 3401-position model. Lineage: Eukaryota; Fungi; Glomeromycota; Glomeromycetes; Glomerales; Glomeraceae. The record is from RNAcentral.